GUCCCGUUCGGCUUCGUAGUUAGCACUGGGCAGUUGCACCACCUUGUUAUUCUCUCCUGUCUCGAUGCAACUGAAGGAAUUUCGGAGCGUUGAUACCUAUAAAUUCCUGGCCAACCACCGCGCGACGCGUCAGCCUACAGUUAAAUAACAGAUAGCUGCUAGCUUACGCUUCAGUUUGUUCCUCUCGCUAAUUGACGUUAUCCUCUCCCCCUCCCUUUUGUUGGUAAUGGUGGUUGAGGAUAUGAAAGUAGUGUGGAAGGUGGUGAUGGUGGUGGUGAAUGUAGUCAUGCUUAUCUUGAAUAAGCGGGAGUGACUGGGAAAGAACCGAAUAUGACCCAUAGCAGAUUAACACAGCGAGUUGGAGGGGGCAAAAUGUCUAGGCUGCACCAAAAUAGGCCAUCUAAGUCAGCGAAGAGAAUUGAUUUCAAAUUCUCCCAUUUAAAAGCCCUCCAGGUACCCAAGGGGUGGGGCAAGCUGUUCAUUUCUGUUAUCUCUGAAGAAAAUGGUAAAACAAUCGCAAAAUCAAGCAGAGUACAAGUACGCAAUGGAGGCUGCCAAUGGGCGGAUUCUAUUUCAGAAUCCAUAUGGGUUUCAAAAAAUAGUUCUUCCAAGGAGAUAGAAGAUUGUGUCCUCAAGCU
Prosopis cineraria is the source of this 638-nucleotide long non-coding RNA. RefSeq lists it as uncharacterized. The record is from RefSeq and is a predicted model, not a curated record. Lineage: Eukaryota; Viridiplantae; Streptophyta; Magnoliopsida; Fabales; Fabaceae. The transcript has 3 exons.